UAUUGAGAACAAACAUUUAGUGAGUGUUCUUUACAUUUCAGAUUUCCAAAGAUGAACUGUGUCAGGCUGGUGACAUGGAUGCAUGUGGAUUCUGUUCAACCAACCCUCCUGAGGUAUUUUUGGUCUCCAAUGACCAACUUAUUCUCUAAAUUAAAGUAAUUGAAAUGAUAUUACGUAGAGUACAAACACAUAGGUGUUGUGUAGUACUAGAUUUGUUGGCUGCAUAAAAAGGGAGGACUGAGUUUUGAAAUUACAAGUAUAGAAGAAUGAAAAUUACAUUUAGAAGCGCACAUACACACAGGUCCUGUGUAAUACUCAAAAUGUAAGGUGCAGGAAUAAGGAGGACUGAGUUUUGAAAUUACUAGUACAGAAGAAUGAAAGGUACAUUGAGAAGCAUGCAUACAAAAAGGUCUUGUGUAAUGCUCAUCAGGUAUGUUGCAGAAAUUUCAAAAACUGAGUUUUGAAAUUACAGGUAGAAAAGAAUGAAAAUUACUUUUAGAAGCGCACAUACACACAAGUCCUGUGUAAUACUCAAAAUGUAAGGUGCAGGAAUAGGGAGGACUGAGUAUUGAAAUUACAAGUACAG
Poecilia latipinna (sailfin molly) is the source of this 586-nucleotide long non-coding RNA. RefSeq lists it as uncharacterized. The transcript has 2 exons. Lineage: Eukaryota; Metazoa; Chordata; Actinopteri; Cyprinodontiformes; Poeciliidae. The record is from RefSeq and is a predicted model, not a curated record.